CAAUAGCGUAUAUUUAAGUUGUUGCAGUUAAAAAGCUCGUAGUUGGAUUUCGGAUGGGAUUUGCCGGUCCGUCGUUACGAUGUGCACUGGCCAGUCCUAUCUUGUUGUCGGGGACUAGCUCCUUGGAUUCACUUCCUUGGACUAGGAGCUGACGAGGUUACUUUGAGUAAAUUAGAGUGUUCAAAGCAAGCCUACGCUCUGAAUACAUUAGCAUGGAAUAACACGAUAGGACUCUGGCUUAUCUUGUUGGUCUGUGAGACCAGAGUAAUGAUUAAGAGGGACAGUCGGGGACAUUCGUAUUUCAUUGUCAGAGGUGAAAUUCUUGGAUUUAUGAAAGACGAACUUCUGCGAAAGCAUUUGUCAAGGAUGUUUUCAUUAA
RNAcentral lists this ribosomal RNA (379 nucleotides) under uncultured eukaryote. RNAcentral's name for it is "partial 18S ribosomal RNA". It matches the Rfam family "Eukaryotic small subunit ribosomal RNA", at positions 592 to 976 of the family's 1831-position model. The record is from RNAcentral.